CUGCUUCCAGGAAAAGCCUCUAAGCAUCAGGUAACAUCAAAUCGUACCCCAAACCGACACAGGUGGUCAGGUAGAGAAUACCAAGGCGCUUGAGAGAACUCGGGUGAAGGAACUAGGCAAAAUGGUGCCGUAACUUCGGGAGAAGGCACGCUGACACGUAGGUGAAGUGAUUUACUCAUGGAGCUGAAGUCAGUCGAAGAUACCAGCUGGCUGCAACUGUUUAUUAAAAACACAGCACUGUGCAAACACGAAAGUGGACGUAUACGGUGUGACGCCUGCCCGGUGCCGGAAGGUUAAUUGAUGGGGUCAGCGCAAGCGAAGCUCCUGAUCGAAGCCCCGGUAAACGGCGGCCGUAACUAUAACGGUCCUAAGGUAGCGAAAUUCCUUGUCGGGUAAGUUCCGACCUGCACGAAUGGCGUAAUGAUGGCCAGGCUGUCUCCACCCGAGACUCAGUGAAAUUGAACUCGCUGUGAAGAUGCAGUGUACCCGCGGCAAGACGGAAAGACCCCGUGAACCUUUACUAUAGCUUGACACUGAACAUUGAGCCUUGAUGUGUAGGAUAGGUGGGAGGCUUUGAAGCGUGGACGCCAGUCUGCAUGGAGCCGGCCUUGAAAUACCACCCUUUAAUGUUUGAUGUUCUAACGUGGACCCGUGAUCCGGGUUGCGGACAGUGUCUGGUGGGUAGUUUGACUGGGGCGGUCUCCUCCUAAAGAGUAACGGAGGAGCACGAAGGUUGGCUAAUCCUGGUCGGACAUCAGGAGGUUAGUGCAAUGGCAUAAGCCAGCUUGACUGCGAGCGUGACGGCGCGAGCAGGUGCGAAAGCAGGUCAUAGUGAUCCGGUGGUUCUGAAUGGAAGGGCCAUCGCUCAACGGAUAAAAGGUACUCCGGGGAUAACAGGCUGAUACCGCCCAAGAGUUCAUAUCGACGGCGGUGUUUGGCACCUCGAUGUCGGCUCAUCACAUCCUGGGGCUGAAGUAGGUCCCAAGGGUAUGGCUGUUCGCCAUUUAAAGUGGUACGCGAGCUGGGUUUAGAACGUCGUGAGACAGUUCGGUCCCUAUCUGCCGUGGGCGCUGGAGAACUGAGGGGGGCUGCUCCUAGUACGAGAGGACCGGAGUGGACGCAUCACUGGUGUUCGGGUUGUCAUGCCAAUGGCACUGCCCGGUAGCUAAAUGCGGAAGAGAUAAGUGCUGAAAGCAUCUAAGCACGAAACUUGCCCCGAGAUGAGUUCUCCCUGAGACUUAGAGUCUCCUGAAGGAACGUUGAAGACGACGACGUUGAUAGGCCGGGUGUGUAAGCGCAGCGAUGCGUUGAGCUAACCGGUACUAAUGAACCGUGAGGCUUAACCUU
This 1347-nucleotide ribosomal RNA is filed under the name Salmonella enterica subsp. enterica serovar Choleraesuis. RNAcentral describes it as "partial 23S ribosomal RNA". It matches the Rfam family "Bacterial large subunit ribosomal RNA", at positions 1602 to 2925 of the family's 2925-position model. The record is from RNAcentral. Lineage: Bacteria; Pseudomonadati; Pseudomonadota; Gammaproteobacteria; Enterobacterales; Enterobacteriaceae.